UACGAAGGGGGCUAGCGUUGCUCGGAAUCACUGGGCUUAAAGGGCGCGUAGGCGGUCCGACAAGUCAGGGGUGAAAUCUUGCAGCUUAACUGUAAAAGUGCCUUUGAUACUGUCGGUCUUGAGGGAGAUAGGGGUGUGCGGAACUUCCAGUGGAGCGGUGAAAUGCGUUGAUAUUGGAAGGAACGCCGGAGGCGAAAGCGGCGCACUGGAUCUCUUCUGACGCUGAGGCGCGAAAGCUAGGGGAGCAAACGGG
Molecule: ribosomal RNA, 253 nt
Filed under: uncultured bacterium
Lineage: Bacteria
Description: partial 16S ribosomal RNA
Rfam family: Bacterial small subunit ribosomal RNA
Source: RNAcentral